CUCAUUCGCAUUCUACAGUUGCAUUGAACUAUUGUAUGAAGGAAGAACACGGUACCUUUUCACAUGAUCUUUCCUUGACCUACAGUAUGACAUGAGGUGUCUCUCAUCCACCUCUCCUGUGUUUGAUAACCGGACUCCAUAUUCCAGCAAUCUCCUCACAUCUCUAGGAAUGGGGCUUUGCCAUUGGCCGUCCCACCAAGCAGGUGCCAGGAGUGGGGUCAAGGCACAUUGGUGCUGUUGAUGUUGGCAGCUCAAAGGGCCAGCAUAUCUGUUCCAGAUAUGGCCCCAGCCACCCUGUGACGAGAGGCCGUCAACCAGUAGGUUGCUGUGGACACUGCUUAAGAAUGUGAAGUUUGUGCCUGAAGACUCACGACCUGAUACAAGACAAUUGCACAGUUAUUUAGAAUUCGGUCUUCAUACUGAAUUGUUCCAAACAAAAUAGAACGGGUAUGAAAGAAAGGGAUAUGCACCAAAUCUGUUAGCUGCAGCCAAUGCUGCAAUGAGUUGUGCAUAGGUUGUCCCUACACGUCGGUGUGCUCCAGUGACCACUGCAUAUCUGGCUUGGGAAGCCAGAAAGAAAUCAACAAAUGCUGCCCACCUUGGAGCUGAACCCCAGUCUCUUGAACGGAAAUCCAAAGCCUGCAGAGGAAGGAACUUAAUUUGGGCAGGAAAUUGGUUCUUACAAGUGUAAUAGCAACUUGCAGAGAUCUCUAUUGAAAAAUAUUUAAAAUAAGAUAGGCUGAAUUAUGUUAACAAAAUUGUAGAACCACUCCCAUCGUUUUUAUUUUUGCAAUAUUUAAUACUCAAUUAAUCACGUGAUAAUGAUAUGUAUCAUUUCGUGUCCUGAUUAGGUCACUUAAUUAGUUAGAUCAAACAAAGCCUUAGUAUUCCUUAAAGAAAACAAAGAGAGUAAUUAUUAAGUCUAUUUAGAUGAGUAAGACACAAAGAGCUAAAUAUGAUUUUAUGUGAUAAUUUUUUAAUUAAAAUAUAGCUAAUAUGUGAUGUACUCGUAAUAUUUUUUAAUAUAGAAAUUCAGAUACCUCCUUUUCUUUUAUAUAGUAGGUUCAUAUAUGUACUUGGAAACAUAUAUCUUCCCAAUCGUAAGUACAUUAUGCUCUUAUUCCUUUUUUGUUAAGCAGUAUACGUACGUACACGGUAAUUUAUUUUCCCGGUAAUAGAACGUACAUGUUUUUCUCCGGUGAAUAGUUGUACAUACACGGGAGACUUGUCUUUUUCUUCAGUUCUUUUUAUUGUGGCAGAUUAUCUAAGAUAAUGGGUCCACAAAUUUAAAUGAAAAUCAACGAUACACAUAGAUCUGAUCUAAUGGUUUAAAUUAAUGAGUCCACCAAUUUAAGUGAAAAUCAAUGGUGAGAUUAAACAGUGCCACAUGGCGGUUUGGGAGUGUUUAUAGAAGCGCCACAUGGCGGCUCAGGAGCGUUUGUAGGAAGUUUAAUGGACUUUUAGUAUAUAAUAGAUCUAACACCCGGGAAGAUACUUCUCACAUUUUCAGUAAACAGCACUGAGAAACUGUGGCAAACAUAGUGAUGGAUCUUUCAAGAGAGUAUAUUGUACCUUUUCACUUCCAGUUAUCUCUAGAUCAAAACUCCUGGAGAACUUUUUGUGAUCAAAAUAAAUCACCUGCUUAAAAAGUAGAUCAUAAUCAUCAAUUCCCCUUCCUUUUAGAAAUUCCAAGCUAAUUAACUACGAAAACUAUCUAAUCAUAACCCAUUACAUUUGAAUAAAACUAUGAAGUCCUUGAGAUAACAUUCGACAAAGUAACUAACCUCAGCAAACUCACUGAUGUCUUGCUUUAUAUCCUUGGCAAAGCCUGGUGUAUCUGAAAUUACUGCUACCCGAGGUGUACCCUUCAAAUGACAAAUCUCUAUAGCUCUCUUAAUACAAUUAACUGCAGCUUUUCUUGCUCGAACUGGCCUAGUCAAAAAAUGAGUUAUGUUCAGCAGUUCAACCCAGAUGACGUGGAAAGGUCGCUAAUAAAUUUGAUCUGCAUAAUCGUAAUUUGUAGGUGGUGGAGGUUCUCAUAUCGAUAAGGUGCAAAAAACGUCAAAUCAGACAUUACCAUUUGCAUUAGUUUAUUGAAAUUUCUGAAACAUUUAUAAUCAAUCCUGCUUGUAAACAUAUAGAAGAGAAAUGUUAAAAAAUUAUUAAUUAGACAACAGGAAAGAAACGAAAAAAAUAAGAGGUUGACAGGCCAGUUUGCUGAACUAUAAUGAAUCACACUAUCUAUUAAUCAUACAAAUCUUUACUGAUUCAAGUGGGAUUUUGACGUUAUGAUGUAACAUAUGCUUUCAGCUAACUAGUAAUUACUGUAUCAAAAUGGAAUUUAAUUGCUUUUACAAACAAAUGCAAUGUCAAACAGAUCCUUAUGUUUCAGUUGACAACUGCACCAAGAGUUUCUGUUCACAUCUACAGGUGGAAGCAGCAUAUUUCAAGGCUAACUGAUGAACCAGUUAUUUUUUGACGUGAAGUUUACAACGUCAAAUUUGACAAUAUCCUAUUAUGUUUUCAAAUGAAUGUGGAAAUUUACAUCUAUUUCCUUCCUUUAUGCCACAGAUAGUGCUUCAUACCUGUUUGUCAUCAUGCGCAUGUGCAAUACAAUAUCAGGACUGGAACCCUUUAAAGCCCAUUGAACUGCCUUUUCAACUGUCUGUGAAGGAGAUAUUAUAACUUGCAUAAGUUCACCAAAUGUAUUAGGUCUCGCACGUAAUGAGCCAGG
This 2734-nucleotide small RNA is filed under the name Oryza sativa Japonica Group (Japanese rice). RNAcentral's name for it is "sRNA Os11g0507501". The record is from RNAcentral. Lineage: Eukaryota; Viridiplantae; Streptophyta; Magnoliopsida; Poales; Poaceae.